Molecule: small nucleolar RNA, 155 nt
Filed under: Amazona collaria (yellow-billed parrot)
Lineage: Eukaryota; Metazoa; Chordata; Aves; Psittaciformes; Psittacidae
Description: Small nucleolar RNA ZL1 (ENSACOG00000008410.1)
Rfam family: Small nucleolar RNA ZL1
About the family: Host gene TRRAP. Predicted target U2@U47.
Source: Rfam by way of RNAcentral
GAAGAAGCAAAAUGAUGAGUAAUACUUACAUGAGCCAAAGUGAGUGAGCUCUGUGUGUUUGUGUGUGUGUGUGUGUUUGUGUGAUGGCUGAUUGUGAGACUUGUGUGCCUUAUAAUUGGGCAGUGAUAGCUAAACUGAUAAGAUCUGAUUGCUUC